Molecule: long non-coding RNA, 886 nt
Organism: Drosophila rhopaloa
Lineage: Eukaryota; Metazoa; Arthropoda; Insecta; Diptera; Drosophilidae
Exons: 2
Source: RefSeq, a predicted model, not a curated record
AAAUCCGGGAUAUAUAUACAUUUACAAGGGGUGUUCUAGCUUCAGGAUCAAAUAUGUUUUUUUUUCUUUUUGUUUUGCUUUGGAAUUAGAUUCCAAUUGAACCAAUUCCACCAAAGUUGUGUAACUAUUAAUAUACACAUGUAAUACCUAUUUAAAUUUAAUGUGAUUAUAUUUUCAGUGCAUGGAGAGACCGAGAGUGGGGGAAAUAUGGAGAGGGCGCGUUCUCUUUGUGUAAUUGUUUCGACAUGCUGGAGGCGUCUUGUUAUCAUCGUCGUUUCAUUUGUUGACGACACGACUUAACUACAACCUUAUAUAGCGUACACGUCCGGCCGAUCGCCCAGUGUUAAUGAAAGCGACUACAAAGACAACAAGGGCGACACAAAGAGCAGCGACAAUAACCGGUAACGGGCGCCGGAGCGAGCCGAUAAGACUUCCAGUGAUAAGGGUUCUGCGGGUCUUGAAGCAAAGAUCUCCCAGAAAUCCGCCUAAGCGCCAAUUGGCCAAGUAAAUAAUUGCUCUAUAUAUAGACCCAACCGAUAGAGAUUUUUAACAAAUGCCAUUCGAAAUGAUCUUCCCGAUCAAUUACCACCUUUCAUAUACAUAUGGAAAUGAGAAAACUGAAUCACGAUUCCUGGGUACAAUGAUACAGGUGUCAUUUAUUACGGCGACAAAACUUUCUGACAGAACCGAAAAGUAAUGUGUUCGGAACAUUUGUAAUGUUCUAAACAUUUAAUUAGGUGUUAGCUGUAUUAAACUGAAGGCUUACACUUCAAUGACAAACUUUUAAAGCAAAUAUAGUUUGCUGAAUUUUCUUGAAAUCAUAUGCACCUGUUCAAUACAAAUAAAAAUGUACUCGGAAAUAUGGUGGGUAUUUAAUACCAACGAA